UACGAAGGGAGCUAGCGUUGUUCGGAAUUACUGGGCGUAAAGGGCGCGUAGGCGGCUAUGUAAGUCAGAUGUGAAAGCCCCGGGCUCAACCUGGGAACUGCAUUUGAUACUGCAAGGCUAGAGAUCGAGAGAGGAAAGUGGAAUUACGAGUGUAGAAGUGAAAUUCGUAGAUAUUCGUAGGAACACCAGUGGCGAAGGCGACUUUCUGGCUCGAUACUGACGCUAAAGCGCGAAAGCGUGGGGAGCAAACAGGAUUAGAUACCCUGGUAGUCCACGCUGUAAACGAUGAGUGCUAGAUGUUAGGAGGGUAACCUUUUAGUGUCGCAGCUAACGCAAUAAGCACUCCGCCUGGGGAGUACGGUCGCAAGAUUA
This 372-nucleotide ribosomal RNA is filed under the name uncultured prokaryote. RNAcentral's name for it is "bacterial SSU rRNA". It matches the Rfam family "Bacterial small subunit ribosomal RNA", at positions 524 to 896 of the family's 1533-position model. The record is from RNAcentral.